Molecule: ribosomal RNA, 577 nt
Filed under: Enterococcus faecalis
Lineage: Bacteria; Bacillati; Bacillota; Bacilli; Lactobacillales; Enterococcaceae
Description: partial 23S ribosomal RNA
Rfam family: Bacterial large subunit ribosomal RNA
Source: RNAcentral
AGCGAAAUAAUAGUAGCGAAGUUCCUGAUGUCACACUGCCAAGAAAAGCUUCUAGUGAGAAAACAACUGCCCGUACCGUAAACCGACACAGGUAGUCGAGGAGAGUAUCCUAAGGUGAGCGAGCGAACUCUCGUUAAGGAACUCGGCAAAAUGACCCCGUAACUUCGGGAGAAGGGGUGCUGACUUCGGUCAGCCGCAGUGAAUAGGCCCAAGCGACUGUUUAUCAAAAACACAGGUCUCUGCAAAAUCGUAAGAUGAAGUAUAGGGGCUGACGCCUGCCCGGUGCUGGAAGGUUAAGAGGAUGGGUUAGCUUCGGCGAAGCUCAGAAUUGAAGCCCCAGUAAACGGCGGCCGUAACUAUAACGGUCCUAAGGUAGCGAAAUUCCUUGUCGGGUAAGUUCCGACCCGCACGAAAGGCGUAACGAUUUGGGCACUGUCUCAACGAGAGACUCGGUGAAAUUUUAGUACCUGUGAAGAUGCAGGUUACCCGCGACAGGACGGAAAGACCCCAUGGAGCUUUACUGUAGUUUGAUAUUGAGUGUUUGUACCACAUGUACAGGAUAGGUAGGAGCCGAUGA